RNAcentral lists this long non-coding RNA (798 nucleotides) under Gallus gallus (chicken). RNAcentral's name for it is "lncRNA (ENSGALG00010022870.1)". The record is from RNAcentral. Lineage: Eukaryota; Metazoa; Chordata; Aves; Galliformes; Phasianidae.
GUGAGUGGGAGCAAAGGGGAAGUGGGGCACAAAGGGGAGGAGGGUGUUGUGAUGGACCAUCGAAUGAGCAAAAGUGGCAGUAGAAGUGGUGUGGCCAGAAGCACAGGGUGACUAAAGCAGUGUGUUACCUGGGGAGGUAAGUCUGCUCCUGUUACGUUGUUAAUUCCAAGAAGGUACCAAAAGAUCAAAGUUUGGACAGUAGCUUCAAAGGUGAGCUGAAAACUGGAAAUAGGCUUCAAGCUGAAAGCGUUCAAUAUGUUUUGUGGGGAAAAAACUCAUUUGGUUACUGUCCGCAGGUACCUCUAUGGGUAGAAGCUGCCAGGCAGAAGAUUCUUUAACAGAGCAAGAAGGUACUCAAACAUUGGUGUCCAACCUUCUGGCUUGCCUGGGCUGCAGUCUCUCAUUGGGAAGGGACUGGAUAUUUGCUUUCUGGUUCACUUUACUCCAUUUCUGGCUGCUCAGCAUGCCCCAGACAAUGAUGCAGAAGGUCAGUGAUGGUAAUGCAAGGAGUCAUUUGAGGAAUCUGAAGAGAGAACAGAAAGCUGAUGACAACUCUAAGAUACCUGACCUGCUCUAGGAUUACAAGAGCCCCCAUUCCUGUUACACGACAGAGGUCAGAAUUUACUGGCAUCAGCGGCAGCUGCUACAGAGAGCAAAGCACUGAGCUCUGGUUGCCUUUUGAGAAAAGGACUUCUCCUGCUGGCUUUUUUUUAUCUGAAGAGGGCAUCACUUCCUUCAGGAUGUCAGAAAGCAAUGAAAAAAGCAGCGCAUCACUGAGAUGCCAUCUCUCCUCCUAAG